RNAcentral lists this ribosomal RNA (500 nucleotides) under uncultured bacterium. RNAcentral describes it as "partial 16S ribosomal RNA". It matches the Rfam family "Bacterial small subunit ribosomal RNA", at positions 30 to 523 of the family's 1533-position model. The record is from RNAcentral.
AUUGAACGCUGGCGGAAUGCUUUACACAUGCAAGUCGAACGGCAGCACGGACGUCGGUCUGGUGGCGAGUGGCGAACGGGUGAGUAAUGUAUCGGAACGUGCCCAGUCGUGGGGGAUAACGUAGUGAAAAUUACGCUAAUACCGCAUACGAUCUAUGGAUGAAAGCGGGGGAUCGCAAAACCUCGCGCGAUUGGAGCGGCCGAUAUCAGAUUAGGUAGUUGGUGGGGUAAAGGCCCACCAAGCCAACGAUCUGUAGCUGGUCUGAGAGGACGACCAGCCACACGGGAACUGAGACGCGGUCCAGACUCCUACGGGAGGCAGCAGUGGGGAAUUUGAGACAAUGCGCGAAAGCCUGAUCCAGCCAUUCCGCGUGCACGAUGAAGGCCUUCGGGUUGUAAACUGCUUUUGUACAGAACGAAAAGGUUUCUACUAAUACUCGGAGCUCAUGACGGUACUGUAAGAAUAAGCACCGGCUAACUACGUGCCAGCCGCCGCAGUAA